UACGGGGGGAGCAAGCGUUGUUCGGAUUUACUGGGCGUAAAGGGCGCGUAGGCGGUCGUGACAAGUCACUUGUGAAACCUCCGGGCUUAACUCGGAAAGGUCAAGUGAUACUGUCGGACUAGAGUACAGAAGGGGCAACUGGAAUUCUCGGUGUAGCGGUGAAAUGCGUAGAUAUCGAGAGGAACACCUGCGGCGAAGGCGGGUUGCUGGGCUGAUACUGACGCUGAGGCGCGAAAGCUAGGGGAGCGAACGGG
This 254-nucleotide ribosomal RNA is filed under the name uncultured bacterium. RNAcentral's name for it is "partial 16S ribosomal RNA". It matches the Rfam family "Bacterial small subunit ribosomal RNA", at positions 524 to 776 of the family's 1533-position model. The record is from RNAcentral.